UACGAAGGGGGCUAGCGUUGCUCGGAAUUACUGGGCGUAAAGGGCGCGUAGGCGGACAGUUUAGUCAGACGUGAAAUCCCUCGGCUUAACCGGGGAACUGCAUCUGAUACUGGAUGGCUUGAGUUCGGGAGAGGGAUGCGGAAUUCCAGGUGUAGCGGUGAAAUGCGUAGAUAUCUGGAGGAACACCGGUGGCGAAGGCGGCAUCCUGGACCACGACUGACACUGAAAAGCGAAAGCCAGGGGAGCAAACGGG
Molecule: ribosomal RNA, 253 nt
Filed under: uncultured bacterium
Lineage: Bacteria
Description: partial 16S ribosomal RNA
Rfam family: Bacterial small subunit ribosomal RNA
Source: RNAcentral